AUAGGUGGCAAGCGUUGUCCGGAAUUAUUGGGCGUAAAGCGCGCGCAGGCGGUUCUUUAAGUCUGAUGUGAAAGCCCACGGCUCAACCGUGGAGGGUCAUUGGAAACUGGAGAACUUGAGUACAGAAGAGGAAAGCGGAAUUCUACGUGUAGCGGUGAAAUGCGUAGAGAUGUGGAGGAACACCAGUGGCGAAGGCGGCUUUCUGGUCUGUAACUGACGCUGAGGCGCGAAAGCGUGGGGGAGCAAACAGGAUUAGAUACCCUGGUAGUCCACGCCGUAAACGAUGAGUGCUAAGUGUUGGGGGGUUUCCGCCCCUUAGUGCUGCAGCUAACGCAUUAAGCACUCCGCCUGGGAGUACGGCCGCAAGGCUG
This 371-nucleotide ribosomal RNA is filed under the name uncultured organism. RNAcentral describes it as "partial 16S ribosomal RNA". It matches the Rfam family "Bacterial small subunit ribosomal RNA", at positions 527 to 896 of the family's 1533-position model. The record is from RNAcentral.